Molecule: ribosomal RNA, 654 nt
Filed under: uncultured bacterium
Lineage: Bacteria
Description: SSU rRNA
Rfam family: Bacterial small subunit ribosomal RNA
Source: RNAcentral
CUAGUUGGUAGGGGAAGAGCCUACCAAGGCGACGAUCGGUAGCUGGUCUGAGAGGACGAUCAGCCACACUGGGAUUGAGAACGGCCCAGACUCCUACGGGGGGCAGCAGUGAGGAAUUUUCCGCAAUGGGGGCAACCCUGACGGAGCAACGCCGCGUGCAGGAGGACGCUUUUCGGAGUGUAAACUGCUUUUCUGUGGGACGAGGAUGGACGGUACCACAGGAAGAAGCCCCGGCUAACUACGUGCCAGCAGCCGCGGUAAUACGUAGGGGGCGAGCGUUGUCCGGAGUUACUGGGCGUAAAGGGCAUGCAGGCGGUCGGACGCGUUUUGUGUGACAGCGGAUGGCUUAACUAUCCGAGGAUACGAAAGACGGUUUGACUUGAGGGCUCGAGAGGGACACGGAAUUCCGGGUGGAGUGGUGAAAUGCGUAGAGAUCCGGAGGAACACCAAAGGCGAAGGCAGUGUCCUGGCGAGUACCUGACGCUGAGGUGCGAAAGCUAGGGGAGCGAACGGGAUUAGAUACCCCGGUAGUCCUAGCCGUAAACGAUGACCACCAGGUGUGGGAGGUAUCGACCCCUUCCGUGCCGGAGGAAACCCACUAAGUGGUCCGCCUGGGGAGUACGGUCGCAAGAUUAAAACUCAAAGGAAUUGACG